This 456-nucleotide ribosomal RNA is filed under the name uncultured bacterium. RNAcentral describes it as "bacterial SSU rRNA". It matches the Rfam family "Bacterial small subunit ribosomal RNA", at positions 340 to 786 of the family's 1533-position model. The record is from RNAcentral.
UACGGAAGGCAGCAGUGGGGAAUAUUGCACAAUGGGCGAAAGCCUGAUGCAGCUAUGCCGCGUGUAUGAAGAAGGCCUUAGGGUUGUAAAGUACUUUCAUCGGGGAGGAAAAAACAAAACUAAUAAUUUUAUUUCUUGACGUUACCCGAAAAAGAAGCACCGGCUAACUCCGUGCCAGCAGCCGCGGUAAUACGGAGGGUGCUAGCGUUAAUCAGAAUUACAGGGCGUAAAGAGCACGUAGGUGGUUUUUUUAAGUCAGAUGUGAAAUCCCUGGGCUUAACCUAGGAACUGCAUUUUGAAACUGAAAUACUAGAGUAUCGUAGAGGGAGGUAGAAUUCUAGGUGUAGCGGUGAAAUGCGUAGAUAUCUGGAGGAAUACCUGUGGCGAAAGCGGCCUCCUAAACGAAUACUGACACUGAGGUGCGAAAGCGUGGGGAGCAAACAGGGAUUAGAUACC